RNAcentral lists this ribosomal RNA (1530 nucleotides) under Hylurgops porosus. RNAcentral describes it as "SSU rRNA". It matches the Rfam family "Eukaryotic small subunit ribosomal RNA", at positions 133 to 1574 of the family's 1831-position model. Lineage: Eukaryota; Metazoa; Arthropoda; Insecta; Coleoptera; Curculionidae. The record is from RNAcentral.
ACUUACUUGGAUAACUGUGGUAAUUCUAGAGCUAAUACAUGCAAACAGAGCUCCGACCGGAGACGGAAGGAGUGCUUUUAUUAGAUCAAAACCAAUCGGUGGCGGGCUUGCUCGUCAUCGUACAACUUGGUGACUCUGAAUAACUUUACGCUGAUCGCACGGUCUUAGCACCGGCGACGCAUCUUUCAAAUGUCUGCCUUAUCAACUGUCGAUGGUAGGUUCUGCGCCUACCAUGGUUGUAACGGGUAACGGGGAAUCAGGGUUCGAUUCCGGAGAGGGAGCCUGAGAAACGGCUACCACAUCCAAGGAAGGCAGCAGGCGCGCAAAUUACCCACUCCCGGCACGGGGAGGUAGUGACGAAAAAUAACGAUACGGGACUCAUCCGAGGCCCCGUAAUCGGAAUGAGUACACUCUAAACCCUUUAACGAGGAUCAAUUGGAGGGCAAGUCUGGUGCCAGCAGCCGCGGUAAUUCCAGCUCCAAUAGCGUAUAUUAAAGUUGUUGCGGUUAAAAAGCUCGUAGUCGAAUUUGUGUCUCGUGCCGCUGGUUCAUCGUUCGCGGUGUUAACUGGCGAGUCGCGAGACGUCCUGCCGGUGGGCUUAGCUCGCAAGAGCGGCCCAACUCAAUCCUGCCGCGGUGCUCUUCAUUGAGUGUCGAGGUGGGCCGGCACGUUUACUUUGAACAAAUUAGAGUGCUUAAAGCAGGCUAAAACUUCGCCUGAAUACUGUGUGCAUGGAAUAAUGGAAUAGGACCUCGGUUCUAUUUUGUUGGUUUUCGGAACCCCGAGGUAAUGAUUAAUAGGAACGGAUGGGGGCAUUCGUAUUGCGACGUUAGAGGUGAAAUUCUUGGAUCGUCGCAAGACGGACAGAAGCGAAAGCAUUUGCCAAAAACGCUUUCAUUGAUCAAGAACGAAAGUUAGAGGUUCGAAGGCGAUCAGAUACCGCCCUAGUUCUAACCAUAAACGAUGCCAGCUAGCGAUCCGUCGACGUUCCUCCGAUGACUCGACGGGCAGCUUCCGGGAAACCAAAGCUUUUGGGUUCCGGGGGAAGUAUGGUUGCAAAGCUGAAACUUAAAGGAAUUGACGGAAGGGCACCACCAGGAGUGGAGCCUGCGGCUUAAUUUGACUCAACACGGGAAACCUCACCAGGCCCGGACACCGGAAGGAUUGACAGAUUGAGAGCUCUUUCUUGAUUCGGUGGGUGGUGGUGCAUGGUCGUUCUUAGUUGGUAGAGCGAUUUGUCUGGUUAAUUCCGAUAACGAACGAGACUCUAGCCUGCUAAAUAGGCGUAUUUUGACAUCCUAAAGGCCCGCCGGCUUGGGGUUCGCUCCUUGUCGUGCGCGGUUUUUACUGUCGGCGUACAAACAAUUCUUCUUAGAGGGACAGGUGGCUUUUAGCCGCACGAGAUUGAGCAAUAACAGAUCUGUAAUGCCCUUAGAUGUUCUGGGCCGCACGCGCGCUACACUGAAGGAAUCAGCGUGUCCUCCCUGGCCGAGUGGCCCGGGUAACCCGCUGAACCUCCUUCGUGCUAGG